RNAcentral lists this ribosomal RNA (482 nucleotides) under Melarhaphe neritoides. RNAcentral's name for it is "partial 16S ribosomal RNA". It matches the Rfam family "Bacterial large subunit ribosomal RNA", at positions 1817 to 2571 of the family's 2925-position model. The record is from RNAcentral. Lineage: Eukaryota; Metazoa; Mollusca; Gastropoda; Littorinimorpha; Littorinidae.
CGCUCCUUGAUUUUAAUUAAUAAGGAGUCGGACCUGCCCAGUGAUAAGUAUUUAACGGCCGCGGUACUCUGACCGUGCAAAGGUAGCAUAAUCAUUUGCCCUAUAAUUGAGGGCUAGUAUGAAUGGUUUGACAAGAACAAUACUGUCUCUUUCAAAAUUUCUAGAAUUUAUUCUUUAGGUGAAGAAACCUAAAUAAAAUUAAAAGACAAGAAGACCCUAUCGAGCUUAAACUCUUUUUAUAAAAUAAAAAAAAUUAAUAAUAUUUUUUGUUAUAAAAAAUUUUGGUUGGGGCGACUAAGGAACAAAAAAAGCUUCUUUAUUUAAUAAAGACAAAUAUGUAUUGAUCCAUAAAAUCUUGAUUAAAAGAAUUAGUUACCGUAGGGAUAACAGCAUAAUCUUUUUUAAGAGUUCUUAUCGAAAAAAAGGUUUGUGACCUCGAUGUUGGACUAAAAUUUCCUAAUAGAUGCAGACGUCUUUAAGGG